This 476-nucleotide ribosomal RNA is filed under the name uncultured bacterium. RNAcentral describes it as "bacterial SSU rRNA". It matches the Rfam family "Archaeal small subunit ribosomal RNA", at positions 869 to 1344 of the family's 1478-position model. The record is from RNAcentral.
CGGGGGAGCACCACAACGGGUGGAGCUUGCGGUUUAAUUGGAUUCAACGCCGGAAAUCUUACCGGGACCGACAGCAAUAUGAAGGCCAGGCUGAAGACUUUGCCGGAUUAGCUGAGAGGUGGUGCAUGGCCGUCGUCAGUUCGUACUGUGAAGCAUCCUGUUAAGUCAGGCAACGAGCGAGACCCACGCCCACAGUUGCCAGCGUACUCUCUGGAGUGACGGGUACACUGUGGGGACCGCCGCUGCUAAAGCGGAGGAAGGAAUGGGCAACGGUAGGUCAGUAUGCCCCGAAUAUCCCGGGCUACACGCGAGCUACAAUGGUUGGUACAAUGGGUAUCUACCCCGAAAGGGGACGGGAAUCUCCUAAAACCAAUCUUAGUUCGGAUUGAGGGCUGCAACUCGCCCUCAUGAAGCUGGAAUCCGUAGUAAUCGCGUUUCAACAGAACGCGGUGAAUACGUCCCUGCUCCUUGCACAC